AUUGAACGCUGGCGGAAUGCUUUACACAUGCAAGUCGAGCGGCAGCACGGGGGCAACCCUGGCGGCGAGCGGCGAACGGGUGAGUAAUACAUCGGAACAUGCCCAGUCGUGGGGGAUAACACUUCGAAAGAAGUGCUAAUACCGCAUACGUCCUGAGGGGGAAAGCGGGGGAUCGCAAGACCUCGCGCGAUUGGAGUGGCCGAUGUCAGAUUAGCUAGUUGGUGGGGUAAAGGCCUACCAAGGCAACGAUCUGUAGCUGGUCUGAGAGGAUGAUCAGCCACACUGGGACUGGGACACGGCCCAGACUCCUACGGGAGGCAGCAGUGGGGAAUUUUGGACAAUGGGGGCAACCCCGAUCCAGCCAUUCCGCGUGAGUGAAGAAGGCCUUCGGGUUGUAAAGCUCUUUCGGCAGGAACGAAACGGUGAGCUCUAACAUAGCUUGCUAAUGACGGUACCUGAAGAAGAAGCACCGGCUAACUACGUG
This 484-nucleotide ribosomal RNA is filed under the name uncultured bacterium. Its description in RNAcentral is "partial 16S ribosomal RNA". It matches the Rfam family "Bacterial small subunit ribosomal RNA", at positions 29 to 507 of the family's 1533-position model. The record is from RNAcentral.